GACAAAAGAUCUAGUCUCUCACACACCCUUUCUCUCUCCCAUCGUUGACUUCUCUCUCUCGCUCCCAAUCUCAUGCCUUCUCUCUCACUCUUCUUCGAUUUUCUCUCUUGCACACUCCUAAUCUCAUAAUUUUUCCCUCAAUUCCCAUACCAACCACACACUAUUCACACUUUUCUUUUAAAUUUCAACCAAAAACCUCUCACAUCUCACAACCCAUAACAAUUCAAUCCAAAAAUCAGCAAGCAAGUGAGAGAAGUCGCCCAUUACUGCCAACCAAAAGGGAAAAGAGGAUCAAAUGCCAGCCAAGGGAGGACCCAAGGUGGCAUGCAAGGAGAGGAGGAAGAGUGGACGGUGCCAAGGAGGAAGAAAGAAGGAAAAGAAGAGAAAAGAAAGGAAAAAAAAAAAAAAGAGAAGAAAGGAAGAAAAAGGAAGAGAAAGGAAGAGGAAAAGGCAAAAGAAAAAAAAAUGAAGAAAAGGUAUGUUCUCUUAAAUUUUCUGACGACUUUGGUGUAUCAAAAAUUUUUGGGUAACAUGAAAUUGCUUGAUUUGAUGAGAAUGAUGUGAAAUUGUAUGAUUUUGAUCACCAAAAAAUUAUGAUUGAUGAAUUGUUGAUAAAUUUGAUGAGUUUGUCUGAAUUUUUUGGGUAUUAGAAUUUUUCAGAUAAUGAGAAAUUGAUAGAAAUUGAUAAACUAGGAUACUGCAAUUUGUUUUUUUUUUUUGGUAACAAAUUUGAUGGAAAAGAACAAAUUUGAAUAUCAGAAAAUUUUUUAGGUAAUGUACCUUUAAAUAAACUGAUGAAUUUUGAGUAUCAGAACAUUUUCGAGUAAUGCACAUUUCAUAAAACUGAUACCGAUUGCAUGAUUCUUGCUUGUACCAUGUAAUUGAUGGAUGAUACUCGCAAAUUGACUUUUUAUGAAUUUUGUAUGGUUCUUCAAAUGUUGAGAAAACCUUAAUCACAUGCUGAAUUGUUGAACUAUGUGUCCUCUAAAAAUUUGCAAACCUUAAAUGGCAUCUUUACUUGUUUUGUGGUUUGUGUCAAGAUUGUGACCCUUUGCGAUGUUUGAAAAUUUUCGACACGAUACUAUUAUAGGGGAAAUGCUAUUAAAAUUUCUGUGGAACCCAAAUCCACCUUAUCACACCAAUUUUCUUAUCCAUCGCAAACUGCAUAAAUGAACACCUUGUUGUUCCUUUUUUUUUUUUGGGAA
Molecule: unclassified non-coding RNA, 1205 nt
Filed under: Hevea brasiliensis (rubber tree)
Lineage: Eukaryota; Viridiplantae; Streptophyta; Magnoliopsida; Malpighiales; Euphorbiaceae
Source: RNAcentral